This 30-nucleotide small RNA is filed under the name Bombyx mori (domestic silkworm). RNAcentral describes it as "ovarian small RNA-35969". Lineage: Eukaryota; Metazoa; Arthropoda; Insecta; Lepidoptera; Bombycidae. The record is from RNAcentral.
UGUGUUUGCAUGGUAGCGACCGAAGAGGUU